CAGUAGCCGCGGGAAUACGAAGGGGGCUAGCGUUGUUCGGAAUUACUGGGCGUAAAGGGCGCGUAGGCGGCCAUUCAAGUUAGAUGUGAAAGCCCUGGGCUCAACCUAGGAAUUGCAUUUGAUACUGUUUGGCUUGAGUUCGGGAGAGGUGAGUGGAAUUCCCAGUGUAGAGGUGAAAUUCGUAGAUAUUGGGAAGAACACCAGUGGCGAAGGCGGCUCACUGGACCGACACUGACGCUCAUGCACGAAAGCGUGGGGAGCAAACAGGAUUAGAUACCCGAGUAGUCCCUGUCUCUUAUAC
RNAcentral lists this ribosomal RNA (301 nucleotides) under uncultured bacterium. RNAcentral describes it as "partial 16S ribosomal RNA". It matches the Rfam family "Bacterial small subunit ribosomal RNA", at positions 509 to 807 of the family's 1533-position model. The record is from RNAcentral.